Molecule: ribosomal RNA, 251 nt
Filed under: uncultured bacterium
Lineage: Bacteria
Description: partial 16S ribosomal RNA
Rfam family: Bacterial small subunit ribosomal RNA
Source: RNAcentral
GAUCCUGGCUCAGGAUGAACGCUGGCGGCGUGCAUAACACAUUCAAGUCGAACGGGGUAAAGUGCUUCGGUACUUUACCAAGUGGCGGACGGGUGAGUAACGCGUGAGCAACCUGCCCCUAUGUUCGGGAUACCAACCGGAAACAGUUGUUAAUACCGAAUGACAUAACGGGAUUGCAUGGUCCUGUUAUCAAAGAUUUAUUGCAUAGGGAUGGGCUCGCGUCUGAUUAGGCAGUUGGUGAGGUAACGGCU